AGAGUUUGAUCCUGGCUCAGGACGAACGCUGGCGGCGUGCCUAACACAUGCAAGUCGAGCGGAGACAGUGAGUAGCUUGCUAUGAGCUGUUUUAUCGGCGGACGGGUGAGUAACGCGUGAGCAACCUUUCCCAGACAGGGGAAUACACACCGAAAGGUGUACUAAUACCGCAUAAGACCACGGGAUCACAUGGUUCUGGGGUAAAAGAUUUAUCGGUUUGGGGUGGGCUCGCGUCCGAUUAGGUAGUUGGUGAGGUAACGGCCCACCAAGCCGACGAUCGGUAGCCGACCUGAGAGGGUGAUCGGCCACAUUGGGACUGAGACACGGCCCAAACUCCUACGGGAGGCAGCAGUGGGAAUAUUGGGCAAUGGAGGAAACUCUGACCCAGCAACGCCGCGUGGAGGAAGAAGGUUUUCGGAUCGUAAACUCCUGUCCUUGGAGACGAGUAGAAGACGGUAUCCAAGGAGGAAGCCCCGGCUAACUACGUGCCAGCAGCCGCGGUAAUACGUAGGGGGCAAGCGUUGUCCGGAAUAAUUGGGCGUAAAGGGCGCGUAGGCGGCUCGGUAAGUCUGGAGUGAAAGUCCUGCUUUUAAGGUGGGAAUUGCUUUGGAUACUGUCGGGCUUGAGUGCAGGAGAGGUUAGUGGAAUUCCCAGUGUAGCGGUGAAAUGCGUAGAGAUUGGGAGGAACACCAGUGGCGAAGGCGACUAACUGGACUGUAACUGACGCUGAGGCGCGAAAGUGUGGGGAGCAAACAGGAUUAGAUACCCUGGUAGUCCACACUGUAAACGAUGAAUGCUAGGUGUAGGGGGUAUCGACCCCUUCUGUGCCGCAGUCAACACAAUAAGCAUUCCGCCUGGGGAGUACGGCCGCAAGGUUGAAACUCAAAGGAAUUGACGGGGGCCCGCACAAGCAGCGGAGCAUGUGGUUUAAUUCGACGCAACGCGAAGAACCUUACCAGGUCUUGACAUCCACUUAAACUUACAGAGAUGUAAGGUGUGCUUGCACAAAGUGAGACAGGUGCUGCAUGGUUGUCGUCAGCUCGUGUCGUGAGAUGUUGGGUUAAGUCCCGCAACGAGCGCAACCCUUAUCUUCAGUUACUAACGCGUGAGGGUGAGGACUCUGAAGAGACUGCCGGGGACAACUCGGAGGAAGGUGGGGACGACGUCAAAUCAUCAUGCCCCUUAUGACCUGGGCUACACACGUGCUACAAUGGCCACGACAGAGAGAAGCGAAAUCGCAAGGUAGAGCGGAACUCAAAAAAGUGGUCCCAGUUCGGAUUGUGGGCUGCAACCCGCCCACAUGAAGUCGGAGUUGCUAGUAAUCGCGGAUCAGCAUGCCGCGGUGAAUACGUUCCCGGGCCUUGUACACACCGCCCGUCACACCAUGGGAGUUGGGAGUGCCCAAAGCCGGUGAGGCAACCGCAAGGAGCCAGCCGUCUAAGGCAAGACCAAUGACUGGGGUGAAGUCGAACAAGGUA
RNAcentral lists this ribosomal RNA (1478 nucleotides) under metagenome. Its description in RNAcentral is "bacterial SSU rRNA". It matches the Rfam family "Bacterial small subunit ribosomal RNA". The record is from RNAcentral.